Molecule: ribosomal RNA, 468 nt
Filed under: uncultured bacterium
Lineage: Bacteria
Description: partial 16S ribosomal RNA
Rfam family: Bacterial small subunit ribosomal RNA
Source: RNAcentral
GACGAACGCUGGCGGCGUGCUUAACACAUGCAAGUCGAACGGAAAGGCGCUGCUUUUGUGGGGUGCUCGAGUGGCGAACGGGUGAGUAAAACGUGAGUAAACUGCCCUUGACUUUGGGAUAACUUCAGGAAACUGGGGCUAAUACCGGAUAGGAGAUCCUGCUGCAUGGUGGGGGUUGGAAAGUUUCGGCGGUUGGGGAUGGACUCGCGGCUUAUCAGCUUGAUGGUGGGGUAGGGGCUUACCAAGGCUUUGAAGGGUAGCCGGCCUGAGAGGGUGACCGGCCACAAUGGGACUAAGAUACGGACCAGAAGCCUACGGGAGGCAGAGGUGGGGAAUAUUGCACAAUGGGCGGAAGCCUGAUGCAGCAACGACGCGUGCGGGAUGACGGCUUUCGGGUUGUAAACCGCUGUCGCCUGUGACGAAGCGUGAGUGACGGUAAUGGGUAAAGAAGCACCGGCUAACUACGUG